Molecule: transfer RNA, 68 nt
Filed under: Squaliobarbus curriculus (barbel chub)
Lineage: Eukaryota; Metazoa; Chordata; Actinopteri; Cypriniformes; Xenocyprididae
Description: tRNA-Cys
Rfam family: tRNA
About the family: Transfer RNA (tRNA) molecules are approximately 80 nucleotides in length. Their secondary structure includes four short double-helical elements and three loops (D, anti-codon, and T loops).
Source: RNAcentral
AAGCUCCGUGGUGAAGAAACAUGUUGGAUUGCAAAUCCAGAGACGUAGAUUAAUAGUCUGCCGGGGCU